This 80-nucleotide ribosomal RNA is filed under the name Alkalinema sp. RU_4_3. RNAcentral's name for it is "partial 16S ribosomal RNA". It matches the Rfam family "Bacterial small subunit ribosomal RNA", at positions 1 to 79 of the family's 1533-position model. The record is from RNAcentral. Lineage: Bacteria; Bacillati; Cyanobacteriota; Cyanophyceae; Leptolyngbyales; Leptolyngbyaceae.
UACAAUGGAGAGUUUGAUCCUGGCUCAGGAUGAACGCUGGCGGUAUGCUUAACACAUGCAAGUCGAACGGAAAUCUUCGG